Molecule: long non-coding RNA, 306 nt
Organism: Pocillopora damicornis (cauliflower coral)
Lineage: Eukaryota; Metazoa; Cnidaria; Anthozoa; Scleractinia; Pocilloporidae
Source: RefSeq, a predicted model, not a curated record
AUGUAUGUACAUCUGAUCAUGCAUAUUGAUAUGUGAAAGUUUGGCUACAUUUUAGCUGUGACGAAACCGUGACUGACUGCAUGGCGUUACUUUAAAUACAUAAUUCUAUCUUUGACAUCGCUUGACACGUACGCUUGACAGACGAGAGAUAAGCCGUUCAUUUGCAGAACUUACGAAGUAGAGGGCUUGCCCUCGAGGAAGGAUAAAGGAUGAUUCCUUACUUUGGUUUAUUGUUGCUGCUUAAAUCACUGGCUGCUGAAGGUAUUUUUAAGAUAUGGAGUCAGCAAAACAAAAACUAUUGUUGUA